UUUUAUGGAGAGUUUGAUCCUGGCUCAGGAUGAACGCUGGCGGCGUGCCUAAUACAUGCAAGUCGAGCGAACGGACGAGAAGCUUGCUUUUCUGAUGUUAGCGGCGGACGGGUGAGUAACACGUGGAUAACCUACCUAUAAGACUGGGAUAACUUCGGGAAACCGGAGCUAAUACCGGAUAAUAUUUU
The sequence is a ribosomal RNA, 188 nucleotides long. It matches the Rfam family "Bacterial small subunit ribosomal RNA", at positions 1 to 182 of the family's 1533-position model.